Molecule: ribosomal RNA, 227 nt
Filed under: Oxyrrhis marina
Lineage: Eukaryota; Dinophyceae; Oxyrrhinales; Oxyrrhinaceae
Description: partial Bacterial large subunit ribosomal RNA
Rfam family: Bacterial large subunit ribosomal RNA
Source: RNAcentral
AAAGAGCAUUUGGUGGAUGCCUUGGCAUCGAGAGGCGAUGAAGGACGUGGCACUCUGCGAUAAGCUACGGGGAGGGGAGAGCACCCAUUGAUCCGUGGAUUUCCGAAUGGGGAAACCCGGCGCUUUAGCGUCAUCGUUAACUGAAUACAUAGGUUAACGAAGCAAACCCGGCGAAGUGAAACAUCUCAGUAGCCGGAGGAAAGGACAUCAACCGAGACUCCGUUAGU